Molecule: ribosomal RNA, 467 nt
Filed under: uncultured bacterium
Lineage: Bacteria
Description: partial 16S ribosomal RNA
Rfam family: Bacterial small subunit ribosomal RNA
Source: RNAcentral
GACGAACGCUGGCGGCGUGCUUAACACAUGCAAGUCGAACGGAAAGGCCCUGCUUUGGGGGGUGCUCGAGUGGCGAAAGGGUGAGUAACACGUGAGUAACCUGCCCUUGACUUUGGGAUAACUUCAGGGAACUGGGGCUAAUACCGGAUAGGAGCUCCUGCUGCAUGGUGGGGGUUGGAAAGUUUCGGCGGUUGGGGAUGGACUCGCGGCUUAUCAGCUUGUUGGUGGGGUAGUGGCUUACCAAGGCUUUGACGGGUAGCCGGCCUGAGAGGGUGACCGGCCACAUUGGGACUGAGAUACGGCCCAGACUCCUACGGGAGGCAGCAGUGGGGAAUAUUGCACAAUGGGCGGAAGCCUGAUGCAGCAACGCCGCGUGCGGGAUGACGGCCUUCGGGUUGUAAACCGCUUUCGCCUGUGACGAAGCGUGAGUGACGGUAAUGGGUAAAGAAGCACCGGCUAACUACGUG